GGGAGGUGAUAACACAGCAAAAUGCAAAUUUGAAGAAGCACCCAUAAAAGGUGCCCCGGCU
This 61-nucleotide transfer RNA is filed under the name Lygodactylus nyaneka. Its description in RNAcentral is "tRNA-Cys". Lineage: Eukaryota; Metazoa; Chordata; Lepidosauria; Squamata; Gekkonidae. The record is from RNAcentral.